AAAGUCGUAACAAGGUAACCGUAGGUGAACCUGCGGUUGGAUCAUUAAAAAACAUGGCCGACUAGGUCCGCCUAUUCGGCCGCAUACCCUGGGGGAUGACGCUGGAUCAUUCUUGACCAGCGCUCCCUUAUGAAGUACAUUUUGUGAACCGUUCCGUCUCUGGCGAGAGGGUAGUGAAAGCUACUUGUCAGCAUUGCAUCUUUGCAGUGCCGUGGACAUCUCGCCAACCCCUUCUAAACAUAUAAUCUGUAUUUGAUGUCUGACAUUUCUUGUAUAAAUAUACAAAACAACUUUUGGCAACGGAUCUCUUGGCUCUC
RNAcentral lists this unclassified non-coding RNA (317 nucleotides) under Chytridiomycota sp. RNAcentral describes it as "partial contains small subunit ribosomal RNA, internal transcribed spacer 1, and 5.8S ribosomal RNA". The stretch from base 1 to 47 matches the Rfam family "Eukaryotic small subunit ribosomal RNA", at positions 1785 to 1831 of the family's 1831-position model. Lineage: Eukaryota; Fungi; Chytridiomycota. The record is from RNAcentral.